GGUAGACUCAGUCACAAACUUGUCUUACCAGAUAAAGUGUUGCAGAUUAAACUAUUUUACCCCCCUGGGAGCAGGUCUCUGUGGCCGUAGGAGUGUAUAGGAAAACCAUCAGCCGAUGUGUCAAGUGGAAGGGAAAACUGAAGUCGAAGGAUUCGUGGCUUUUCACAUACAAAGGCAUCCUCCCAUCCCUCCUGGCCAGCCAGCGAAGGAUGGACAAGUGCACCUGGAGGCUACUGCCCAGGUGCAAGGGGUGGGUGUGGGGCAAGCUGCAGAAUGCCCCAGAACAAAGACACCUCCAGGGGCCUCCUCGGAGGUCACCCGCUGCCUCCAGGGCAGAUUAAGGAGGACUGGAGAUGGCGCUUGGAGGAAAUGGUGCUGUUCUUUGGGAAAUCAAUUCGUCCCACCCUUAAUAGGGUGUUUUGCCCUCCCUCUUUGGGAGUUCCAGGCAAUGGGCUUCCAGGUCUCUACGGUUCUGAAAGAGGCGGCCCCUUUGCCAGCCCAUGUUCCUUCAAACAGCCCAGGCCCCACAAGAAUCUCUUCUGCUCUCUGCCACGUUUCCUUUCCCUUUUCUCCCUCUUUCAGGCUCUCCCGCCCCUCUCUAUACCCAAGCUCCUUUCAUAAUGAGGCUGGAAGUGGAACUUUCCCCCACUCCCUUACUUUGAGAUUUCUUUUUUCCCAGUGACCUGGGCUGCACUUUACCCCCACUCCCUGCCUGCCAAUCUCCUCAGGGUUAGGGCCUUUCUCUAUCCAUUCUUUCAGGUUCCCCCUCCUUGAGAGCUCCAGGAGGCCAGGCCUUCCAGAAUCUGAUCUCCUUCCAACACUGCAGCCCCCCUGAGGAGGAAGGAAGAAGCCUCCUCCGAAUGAAUGGCCGAUAGAAAAGAAGCAAAGCCAUCUCAGAGAAGACAUCUCUAGAAGGCCUGUUAUACUGUAAGGGAGGCAUCCUGAUGUCUGGCUGAAGUCUCUCCUUCUGCAAAAUUGUCUUGGGCUUCCCAGGUGGCUCAGUGGUAAAGAAUCCACCUACUAAUGCAGGAGACGCUAGUUUGAUCCCUGGGUUGGGAAGAUCCCCUGGAGAAGGAAAUGACAAUCUACUCCAGUACUCUUGCUUGGGAAAUCCCAUGGACAGAGGAGCCUGGUGGGUUACGAAAGUCGGACAUGACUGAGCAGCUAAACAACAACAACAUUGCAUUGUUUUCCUUUGUUUCAAGAUUUAUAGCAUAUAAGCAGCUCUUAGAGUGGUAACUAUUGUUAUUAUUUUAUUAAUCAUUAUGUAGAUCAUUAUUUCAUUAAUUACUUCCCUAUUUGAACUCUGCCUUGUUCUCCCCCUCCCCAAAUAUACGGUGGCUAGUAAGGGAUCAUAAAAUACAGCAGAAUACACACAAAGAGCAAGAAAAGAUGGCCAAAACACAAGACGCACACUGCAGGACAGUGCAUACUUUGUGAACCAUUUCUAAAAUGUAUACAAAAUACAAAUCUCAUAUAAUUCUAUAAUUAAUUUAUUAAGAUAAAAAAUAAAAAACUGAACUAAACUUAAGAUAUAGGAUACUGCUAGAUUUGGGGGGAAGGAAAUAGUCCUAGAGUAGAAGGAUGGUGGGCUUUUCUACUUUCUGUGUAAUGUUUCAGUGACUUGAAGUAAAUAGAACAAAAUAUUAACAACUGUCAAUUUUGUGUGGCAGGUACUAGAUAUUGCACUACUUUAUGGACUUUAGAUUUGGAAGAAGAUCUCAGAGUUGUAUUUACUUGCUCAAGUGAGCCAUGAGUUGAUCUCUAAGCUCUCUAAAGGGCAAUAUAAGGAAAGGAGCCAGGUCAGUUCUACAAUUGAUGGUAUCGUGAGUAUCCCGAGGUGAAAAUAUAUCCAGGCUUUGGGAGAGCCCAGAACCUGGUACUGAGAACUCUAGAAGCUAUGCUUAUUCCACAGUGGCUAGUGGGUGGUGGUUUCAGCAGGGGUUUGGGAGUCUGAGAGCUUGUGUGUGUGUGUGUUUCUGGGUGUGUGAUUAGAAGAGGGAGCGAUUGGUCACACAUCUACAGACAUGUAGCUCUUCACCUGAAUUGUCUGUUCUAAAGACUCAGGUGAGAGUCACCUCAGCCCUGAAGAUGGGAGUGCUCAGGGACAAGCUCCUCGUGGUGGCCUUGCCACCAGCCAAUGACUCAGUAUUUUCAAACGGCAUCACAGCAAAGCCCAGUUCAUAAAGCUUUGAGGAGCCCCCACUACUAUUGGGCAGGCCCCAGCUCUCUGCCUAUCAGACCUGGGGUUUUCAAGCCCUUGGAAGACUAAAGGGGCCGUCCAUCCUUAAAGCAAAGAAAUGCAAGCUACUCCUGCCCUUGGCCAAAGCUGUGACCAACACAGGGAGGAGGUGAGGUAGAGAUGGUGCUGCCCACAGGAGCCUGGGAAGGUCACCAAUGUCUUCUUCCCCUUGUGAGGGACCAGUAGUCAGCUGGGUGCAGAGGAGCUGGGAACUCGCCUCUCUAGAGGGCCACCCCUCCUCCUCUGGAGGGGAGCCCAGGUGACUCACCGUUGUGCCAGGUUUUUCCUCAGAAAGCAUUCGAAAUUGGCUCCAGCACCCAAAUGCGCAGCGAUGCAGCACCUAGGGUCAACUCCAGGAGGUGUGCCCG
Long non-coding RNA from Bos taurus (domestic cattle), 2610 nucleotides. The record is from Ensembl. NCBI's taxonomy places the organism in Eukaryota, Metazoa, Chordata, Mammalia, Artiodactyla, Bovidae.